UGGGGAAUCUUGCGCAAUGGGCGAAAGCCUGACGCAGCGACGCCGCGUGCGGGAAGAAGGCCUUCGGGUUGUAAACCGCUUUCAGGAGGGACGAAGCCACUCGGGUUAAUAGCCCAGAGGGUGACGGUACCUCCAGAAGAAGCCCCGGCUAACUACGUGCCAGCAGCCGCGGUAAUACGUAGGGGGCUAGCGUUGUCCGGAUUUAUUGGGCGUAAAGAGCGCGUAGGCGGCCGAGUAAGUCCGACGUGAAAUCUGGAGGCUCAACCUCCAGCGGUCGUUGGAAACUACUCGGCUAGAGUCCGGAAGAGGAGAGUGGAAUUCCUGGUGUAGCGGUGAAAUGCGCAGAUAUCAGGGAAGAACACCGAUGGCGAAAAGCAGCUCUCUGGGACGGUACUGACGCUGAGGCGCGAAAGCGUGGGGAGCGAACAGGAUUAGAUACCCUGGUAGUCCACGCCGUAAACGAUGGGUGCUAGGUGUGGGCGGUGUCGACUCCGCCCGUGCCGAAGCUAACG
RNAcentral lists this ribosomal RNA (512 nucleotides) under uncultured Actinomycetes bacterium. RNAcentral's name for it is "bacterial SSU rRNA". It matches the Rfam family "Bacterial small subunit ribosomal RNA", at positions 355 to 857 of the family's 1533-position model. Lineage: Bacteria; Bacillati; Actinomycetota; Actinomycetes. The record is from RNAcentral.